GAGGAAAGAGGGAGGCGUGCCUAAUACAUGCAAGUCGAGCGAACGGACGAGAAGCUUGCUUCUCUGAUGUUAGCGGCGGACGGGUGAGUAACACGUGGAUAACCUACCUAUAAGACUGGGAUAACUUCGGGAAACCGGAGCUAAUACCGGAUGAUAUUUUGAACCGCAUGGUUCAAAAGUGAAAGACGGUCUUGCUGUCACUUAUAGAUGGAUCCGCGCUGCAUUAGCUAGUUGGUAAGGUAACGGCUUACCAAGGCAACGAUGCAUAGCCGACCUGAGAGGGUGAUCCGCCACACUGGAACGGAGACACGGUCCAGACUCCUACGGGAGGCAGCAGUAGGGAAUCUUCCGCAAUGGGCGAAAGCCUGACGGAGCAACGCCGCGUGAGUGAUGAAGGUCUUCGGAUCGUAAAACUCUGUUAUUAGGGAAGAACAUAUGUGUAAGUAACUCUGCACAUCUUGACGGUACCUAAUCAGAAAGCCACGGCUAACUACGUG
This 497-nucleotide ribosomal RNA is filed under the name uncultured bacterium. RNAcentral's name for it is "partial 16S ribosomal RNA". It matches the Rfam family "Bacterial small subunit ribosomal RNA", at positions 28 to 507 of the family's 1533-position model. The record is from RNAcentral.